GGGUAGUGAGGGGAAAAGUAGGCUGGCUCCUGACGCACUUUUCUGGUGCUUGGGAGGGGAACUAGGGACCUGAGCCCACUGCUGACGUCCCUGUCACGUGAUCAGGAGCAGACGUAUGCAGAAGUCUCUCUCUUCCAGGUACCAGCUACCAGCUCCUUAUCUCCGUGAAGGAAGGCAGACUUGAAACCGAACGACAGAGGGGGGAGCAACUGCCCUAUAGCCCGGCAGGUCUUCAAGUCUGUGGCUGUGGGCAGCAACCCAGCCAAGGAAAGGGAAGCCCUGCAGCACCAGUGCAGGACAGGCAACAAAGAAAAAUUGCAACAUGGAAAAGUUCUACAAAGAAAAUGAAGGAAAGCCAGAAAACAAGGGAAGGGCAGAAGAUGAAGGAAGUACAGAAGAGGGAGGAAAAGCAGAUGAA
This 418-nucleotide long non-coding RNA is filed under the name Rattus norvegicus (Norway rat). RNAcentral's name for it is "long non-coding RNA NONRATT030659". Lineage: Eukaryota; Metazoa; Chordata; Mammalia; Rodentia; Muridae. The record is from RNAcentral.